Molecule: unclassified non-coding RNA, 269 nt
Filed under: plant metagenome
Description: partial contains small subunit ribosomal RNA, internal transcribed spacer 1, and 5.8S ribosomal RNA
Source: RNAcentral
UUUCCGUAGGUGAACCUGCGGAAGGAUCAUUAAUGAGUUGUCAUGGGGUUCGAUGCUGGCAGCCAAUUCUUGGAUGCAUGUGCUUGCCCUAACAAUCAUCUUCCAAACACCUGUGCACAUUUUUGAGGGAGUCUUGAGUUGGUUGCCGCUCUUGGGUGAUUUUCUCACAUUCCCUUAAAUCAUUAUACGCUAUUAACAAUGUUGAACGUGCUCUGUGCCGCAAGGCUAUUAAUAUAAUACAACUUUUAACAACGGAUCUCUUGGCUCUC